This 829-nucleotide ribosomal RNA is filed under the name Lactobacillus delbrueckii subsp. bulgaricus. Its description in RNAcentral is "partial 23S ribosomal RNA". It matches the Rfam family "Bacterial large subunit ribosomal RNA", at positions 1346 to 2181 of the family's 2925-position model. The record is from RNAcentral. Lineage: Bacteria; Bacillati; Bacillota; Bacilli; Lactobacillales; Lactobacillaceae.
UAAGGUUUCCUGGGGCAGGCUCGUCCGCCCAGGGUAAGUCGGGACCUAAGGCGAGGCCGAGAGGCGUAGUCGAUGGACAACAGGUUGAAAUUCCUGUACUGCACCGAAUCGUUAUGAGCGAUGGAGGGACGCAGGAGGCUAGCAGCGCGUGGUGCUGGAUACCACGUUCAAGCGUCAAGUCUGAGAGCGAGUCAAAUGCUUGCUCUCAUAAGGACAAGGCGUGAUGAGGAGCGAAAUUAAAGUAGCGAAGGCUGCGACGUCACACUGCCGAGAAAAGCUUCUAGCCAGAGACGGUGCACCCGUACCGCAAACCGACACAGGUAGUCGAGGAGAGUAUCCUCAGGUGAGCGAGAGAACUCUCGUUAAGGAACUCGGCAAAAUGGCCCCGUAACUUCGGGAGAAGGGGCGCUGGUCGCAAGAUCAGCCGCAGUGAAAAGGCCCAAGCAACUGUUUAUCAAAAACACAGGCAUCUGCAAAAUCGUAAGAUGAAGUAUAGGUGCUGACACCUGCCCGGUGCUGGAAGGUUAAGAGGAGAGCUUAGCGCAAGCGAAGGUUUGAAUUGAAGCCCCAGUAAACGGCGGCCGUAACUAUAACGGUCCUAAGGUAGCGAAAUUCCUUGUCGGGUAAGUUCCGACCUGCACGAAAGGUGUAAUGAUUUGGGCACUGUCUCAACGAGAGACUCGGUGAAAUUAUAAUACCCGUGAAGAUGCGGGUUACCCGCGACAGGACGGAAAGACCCCAUGGAGCUUUACUGCAGUUUAAUAUUGGGUAUCUGUCAAGCAUGUACAGGAUAGGUAGGAGCCGGAGAAGAUAGGACGCCAGUCUUAUC